AUGAAGUCAUAUAUUCAACAAAUGACAUCAAAGUCUAACUCUUAUUUAAGGAUUAAUCGUCUAAGGAGGAAGAUGACUUCUGACAAGAGAUACUUUCUAAACACACCACCAUUUUUUAAUAGUAGUAGAUUUGAUAUUUUAAAAGGUAGGUUUAGAAUGUAUUUACAAAGCAUAAAUCAUGAAUUGUGGGAAAAAAUAGUCAAUGGCCCGUUUAUUCCAACUCAUCAAGUAAAUGAUGAAGCAGUAGAUAAACCCAAUUCUUUUUGGACCGAAGUGGAAAGGAGAAAGUUUAAGAUAAUUUUUAAAACCAAAAACUUUAUAAUAAUGUCUCUAGAUGAUAGUAAAAUUUUCAUGUUCAUCGUUGUAAAACUUCCAAGGAAAUGUUGGAUACUCUUGAAAUGA
This is a non-coding RNA of Vicia faba (fava bean), 402 nucleotides long. The record is from the annotation of a GenBank genome assembly. Lineage: Eukaryota; Viridiplantae; Streptophyta; Magnoliopsida; Fabales; Fabaceae.